UUCGCAAUGCCCGAAAGGGUGACGAAGCGACGCCGCGUGCGGGAAGAAGGCCUUCGGGUUGUAAACCGCUGUCGGGAGUUAAGAAAUGCAAGGAUGUUAAUAGCGUCUUUGCUUGACUAAGGCUCCGGAGGAAGCCACGGCUAACUCUGUGCCAGCAGCCGCGGUAAUACAGAGGCGGCAAGCGUUGUUCGGAAUUAUUGGGCGUAAAGAGCACGUAGGCGGCCGUGUAAGUCGGUUGUGAAAGCCUUCCGCUCAACGGAAGGACGGCAUCCGAUACUGCAUGGCUCGAGUGCGGGAGGGGAGAGUGGAACUUCUGGUGGAGCGGUGAAAUGCGUAGAUAUCAGAAGGAACACCGGCGGCGAAGGCGACUCUCUGGCCCGUAACUGACGCUGAGUGUGCGAAAGCUAGGGGAGCAAACGGGAUUAGAUACCCCGGUAGUCCUAGCCGUAAACGAUGGGCACUAAGUAGAGGGGUUUU
RNAcentral lists this ribosomal RNA (477 nucleotides) under uncultured anaerobic ammonium-oxidizing bacterium. RNAcentral describes it as "bacterial SSU rRNA". It matches the Rfam family "Bacterial small subunit ribosomal RNA", at positions 365 to 832 of the family's 1533-position model. The record is from RNAcentral.